CAAAUUUUCAGGAGAAAGGGGGAUUUGCUGGCCAGACUCCCAAUAAAAACAGGAUUUGAUGGCCAAAUUCACAAUGAAAAGUGUAUUUGCUGGCCAAAUUCCCAGGACAAAGGGGAUAUGAUGCCCAAACUCCCAAUAAAAAGGGGAUUUGGUGCCCACACUCCCAAUGAAAGGGGAUUUGCUGUCCACACUCCCAAUGAAGAGGGAAUUUGGUGCCCACACUCCCAAUAAAAAGAGGAUUUGGUGCCCACACUCCCAAUGCAGAGGGGAUUUGGUGCCCACACUCCCAAUGAAAGGGGAUUUGGUGCCCACAUUCCCAAUAAAAAGGGGAUUUGGUGCCCAAACUCCCAAUGAAAGGGGAUUUGGUGGCCACACUCCCAAUGAAAGGGGAUUUGGUGGCCACACUCCCGAUGCAGAGGGAAUCUGGUGCCCGCACUCCCAAUGAAAGGGGAUUUGGUGCCCACAUUCCCAAUAAAAAGGGGAUUUGGUGCCCACACUCCCAAUGAAAGGGGANNNNNNNNNNUGAAAGGGGAUUUGGUGCCCACAUUCCCAAUGAAAGGGGAUUUGGUGGCCACAUUCCCAAUAAAAAGGGGAUCUGGUGGCCGGGAGGAGCCGCCCUCCCCACUCACUCUCGUAGAACUCGAAGCACUUGGCCGCGGGGCUGCUGCUCCAGGUGUAUUCCGAGGGUUUCCUGCCGCGGUUGUCGCGGGCGUAGACGUUGGCGCCGAACUCGACCAGCAGCUGCACCAGGUCGGCGUUGCGCGCCUUGGCCGCGUGGUGCAGCGCCGUCUCGUGCAGCUUGGCUGCGUUCACGUUGGCUCCUGGCGCCGCAGGCCGCCCGCGGGGGAAACCCACAGCGGGAAACGGGAACGGGAUCAGGAACGGGAGCGGGAACGGGAGCAGGAACGGGGUCAGGAACGGGAGCAGGAACGGGAGCAGGAACGGGAACGGGGUCAGGAACGGGAGCAGGAAUGGGAUCAGGAACGGUGUCAGGAAUGGGCCAGGAAUGGGGUCAGGAACGGGGUCAGGAACGGGAGCAGGAACGGGGUCAGGAACGGGAGCAGGAACGGGAGCAGGAACGGGAACGGGGUCAGGAACGGGAUCAGGAACGGGAGCAGGAACGGGAGCAGGAACGGGAACGGGGUCAGGAACGGGAGCAGGAACGGGAGCGGGAACGGGAGCGGGAACGGGAGCAGGAACGGGAACGGGGUCAGGAACGGGAGCAGGAAUGGGAUCAGGAACGGGGUCAGGAACGGGAGCAGGAACGGGGUCAGGAACGGGAUCAGGAACGGGAGCAGGAACGGGAGCAGGAACGGGAGCAGGAACGGGGUCAGGAACGGGAGCAGGAACGGGACCAGGAACGGGAGCAGGAACGGGGUCAGGAACGGGGUCAGGAACGGGAGCAGGAACGGGAGCAGGAAUGGGAUCAGGAAUGGGAUCAGGAACGGGACCAGGAACGGGGUCAGGAAUGGGAUCAGGAACGGGGUCAGGAACGGGAUCAGGAACAGGAUCAGGAAUGGGCUCAGGAAUGGGAUCAGGAACGGGAUCAGGAACGGGAUCAGGAACAGGAUCAGGAACAGGAUUAGGAAUGAGAUCAGGAACGAGAUCAGGAAUGGGAUCAGGAAUGGGAUCAGGAACGAGAUGAGGAAUAGGAUCAGAAACGGGAUAAGGAACGGGAUCAGGAAUGGGAUCAGGAACGAGAUGAGGAACGGGAUCAGGUAUGGGAUCAGGAACGGGAUCAGGAACGGGAUCAGGAACGGGAUCAGGACCAGAACCGGGAUCAGGAACGGGCUCGGGCACGGGAGCCAGGGCUCUGUCCCGCAGGAUUCCGGGCGGGAAUGCCGUACCUGCCUGGAGCAGCAGCUUGGCACAGUCCAGGUGCUCCCGGGCACAGGCCACGUGCAGGGGGGUCCCGAAGUGGCAGUCGUGGGCCUCCAGGUUGGCACCCACCUCGAUCAGCAGCUGCACGCACUCCGGGCUGCCUGCGACACGAGACCGGGAAAAUCCCGCUGGAAACCGGGCAAUCCCACGGAAAUCCAGGAAUUCCCGCUGGAAACCGGGCAAUCCCAACCCACAGGGGUGCAAUUCCCGCUGGAAACUGGAAACUGGGGAAUCCCAACCCACNNNNNNNNNNCCUGGAAUAACCCUGGAAUUGCUCUAGAAUGGCCCUGGAAUUUGCCUGGAAUUGCCCUGGAAUAACCCUGGAAUUGCUCUAGAAUGGCCCUGGAAUUUCCCUGGAAUAACCGUGGAAUGACCCUGGAAUAACCCUGGAAUUACUCUAGAAUGGCCCUGGAAUUUCCCUGGAAUAACCGUGGAAUGACCCUGGAAUAACCCUGGAAUUUCCCUGGAAUUGCCCUGGAAUGACCCUGGAGUAACCCUAGAAUGACUCUGGAAUAACCCUGGAAUUGCUCUAGAAUGGCCCUGGAAUAGCUCUGGAAUAACCCUGGAAUGACCCUGGAAUAACCCUGGAAUUGCUCUAGAAUGUCCCCAGAAUGUCCCCGGAAUUUCCCUGGAAUUUCCCUGGAGUGACCCCAUAAUUCCCCCGUAAUCCCCCCGGGCUUUCCCGUGAUCCCGGAGCCGCCGGGGCUCACCGCUCAUGCAGGCCUCGUGCAGGGGCGAGGCGCUGUACAGGGCGGGGUUGGCGCUGGCGCCGCGGGCCAGCAGUGCCCGCGCGCACUCGGCGCUGCCCGCGGCGCAGGCGUCGCACAGCGGCGUGCUGCCGUCGAUGUUCCGCGCGUCCACCUGCGGGAGAAGACACCGCAAAGAGGGUCGGGAGUAGGGAAAUGUGGGUUAAAACGGGGCAAAACACGGGACAGAGGGUGAAAACGGGGCAAAAACAUGGAAAAUCGGGUCGGGAGUAGGGAAAUGUGGGUCAAAACGGGGUAAAAACACGGGAAAUCGGGAGAAAAGUAGGGGAAAGCGGGUUAAAACGGGGCAAAAACACGGGAAAUCGGGUCAGGAGUAGGGAAAAUUGGGUUAAAACGGGGUAAAAACACGGGAAAUCGGGUUAGGAGUAGGGAAAAGUGGGUUAAAAGUAGGGAAAAGUGGGUUAAAACAGGGCAAAAACAUGGAAAAUCGGGUUAGAAGUAGGGAAAAGCAGGUUAAAACAGGGUAAAAGCACGGAAAAUUGGGUUAGAAGUAGGGAAAAGUAGGGAAAAGCAGGUUAAAACAGGGUAACAGCACAGAAAAUUAGGUUAAA
RNAcentral lists this long non-coding RNA (3199 nucleotides) under Chloebia gouldiae (Gouldian finch). Its description in RNAcentral is "Erythrura gouldiae (Gouldian finch) lncRNA (ENSEGOG00005014882.1)". Lineage: Eukaryota; Metazoa; Chordata; Aves; Passeriformes; Passeridae. The record is from RNAcentral.